Non-coding RNA from Callithrix jacchus (white-tufted-ear marmoset), 1337 nucleotides. Lineage: Eukaryota; Metazoa; Chordata; Mammalia; Primates; Cebidae. The record is from RefSeq and is a predicted model, not a curated record.
UGAUUUAAACUUAAAAUACACAGGCUGAGAGUUCUGAAACAUUUGAGUUAUGCAACUUUGCUCUACAAAACAAGGCUCCCUCGACCAGUUUCACAAGAUUUCUACAAGGGGCCUUGGCUUUAAAGUGUUAAAACAGACAGAAAGGGUCUCUACCAUCAGAGAGCUUGUAGACCAGUGAGAAUGAAUCAGAAGACACUCCGUUCCUGCUCUGCCUUGGAGCUGAGACUUCCUUCCAAACAAUAGCUAUCACUUAUUGGGAUUGUUGCAGAGUUCCCUGAAGACAGAAGAAGCAGGCAGAAAAGAGCUGAGUGAGACCUCCCAAAGAAGAUCACAAAGAGAAGAGGACAUUAUACCAAGGACGUGGCGCAGGCCAGUGGCCACAGUGCUGGACCUGAAGCCGAGAGGACCCACAUGUAUAUCCUGGCCAAUUCGGGCAUCUUAGCCUUUCUGUGCUUCACUUUCCUUAUUUGUGAAAUCAGCAUUCUGAUCACGAGUAAAUAAAAAUUGCUGCCGUUGAUCAAGGGCACUCACUGGGACAGGCACUGUGCUCCCCUCGUGCCUGGCACCGUCUCAUUUAAUCUUUACAGCAGCCUGAUGAAGACAAGGGGGCUCAGGAUGGUGAACUGACCUCUACAUAGCAGCAAAGUCGGCGUCUGAACUUGUCAGAGCAACAUAUCAAUUAAACUAAUUUUUCCUGGCUGGGCACAGUGACUCAAGCCUACAAUCCCAGAAUUUUGGGAGGCCGAGGCGGGUGGAUCACCUGAGGUCAGGAGUUUAAGACAAGCCUCGCCAACACGGUGAAAACCCAUUUCUAUUAAAAAUACAAAAAAAUUAGCUGGGCAUGGUGGCCGGUGCCUGAAUCCCAGCUAUUAAGGAGGCUGAGGCAGGAGAAUCGCUUGACCUUGGGAGGUGGAGGUUGCAGUGAGUCAGGAAGGCACCAUUGCACUCCAGCCUGGGGAACAAGAGCAAAACUCCAACUCAAACAAACAAAGCAAAACAAAAAACACACAUAUUUUUCCAAAGCAAUAGCAGGCUGGGUUAAACCAGUCAGUCUCCCAUAAGAAAAGUUCCUGAAAAUCAAUAGCCCCAUUUUUCUGAAGGCAAGUCAGGCCAUGGUUACCUCUCUUUGAGGACUGGCUGAGGACCGAGUGGGAGGGUUCACUUCAUGCCACAACAGCAGGGUUGAUUUAUGUCAGCCAUGAGUGGCUUACAGCCAACGGAUGCCCCUUUCUAAUGGGUCACAGCCCUGUUCUAGUUGGCUAGUGCCCUAUUCUGGACGGUUGGUACCAGAAGCACAUUGGUUUAAAUAUUCUGCAUAUCAGCCCCACAUCACAGUG